RNAcentral lists this transfer RNA (74 nucleotides) under Pteropus alecto (black flying fox). It matches the Rfam family "tRNA". Rfam says of the family: Transfer RNA (tRNA) molecules are approximately 80 nucleotides in length. Their secondary structure includes four short double-helical elements and three loops (D, anti-codon, and T loops). Lineage: Eukaryota; Metazoa; Chordata; Mammalia; Chiroptera; Pteropodidae. The record is from Rfam by way of RNAcentral.
GGCUCCACAGUGUAGUGGUUAGCACAUCUGCUUUACACCCAGAAGGUCUGGGGUUCAUACCCUAGGUGGAGCCA